CCCGGUGCGCAGGAGACGGUUACUUCGUUUCGGGAACGGGUGGUUGCGGGUUCGAAUCCCGUCCGGGGCU
This 70-nucleotide transfer RNA is filed under the name Streptomyces mobaraensis. RNAcentral describes it as "tRNA-OTHER". The record is from RNAcentral. RNAcentral also lists the same sequence under 1 other name. Lineage: Bacteria; Bacillati; Actinomycetota; Actinomycetes; Kitasatosporales; Streptomycetaceae.